GGCAACUUUUCUGGCAACCGGUCAACAAAUUUCCGUUUCUAAAAUCAUAAACCAUUGUAUAUGUGUGUUUUAUAAAAAACAUAUACCUGAUUUGUAAUCAGCCGGUCGUCGGUUCGAGUCCGACAGUUGGCUCCA
This 135-nucleotide transfer RNA is filed under the name Verrucomicrobiia bacterium. RNAcentral's name for it is "tRNA-Ser". Lineage: Bacteria; Pseudomonadati; Verrucomicrobiota; Verrucomicrobiia. The record is from RNAcentral.